This 22-nucleotide microRNA is filed under the name Lotus japonicus. RNAcentral describes it as "lja-miR11108s-5p". The record is from miRBase by way of RNAcentral. Lineage: Eukaryota; Viridiplantae; Streptophyta; Magnoliopsida; Fabales; Fabaceae.
CAUUGAAGAUAAGUGAGUUGGA